UGGGGAAUCUUGCGCAAUGGGCGAAAGCCUGACGCAGCAACGCCGCGUGCGGGAGGAAGGCCUUCGGGUUGUAAACCGCUUUCAGCAGGGACGAAAAUGACGGUACCUGCAGAAGAAGCCCCGGCUAACUACGUGCCAGCAGCCGCGGUAAUACGUAGGGGGCAAGCGUUGUCCGGAUUUAUUGGGCGUAAAGAGCUCGUAGGCGGUUCCGUAAGUUGGGAGUUAAAUCUCUGGGCUCAACCCAGAGUCGCUCCCAAUACUGCGGUGACUCGAGUCCGGUAGGGGAGAUUGGAAUUCCUGGUGUAGCGGUGGAAUGCGCAGAUAUCAGGAGGAACACCAACAGCGAAGGCAGAUCUCUGGGCCGGUACUGACGCUGAGGAGCGAAAGCGUGGGGAGCGAACA
RNAcentral lists this ribosomal RNA (402 nucleotides) under uncultured Actinomycetes bacterium. RNAcentral describes it as "bacterial SSU rRNA". It matches the Rfam family "Bacterial small subunit ribosomal RNA", at positions 355 to 774 of the family's 1533-position model. Lineage: Bacteria; Bacillati; Actinomycetota; Actinomycetes. The record is from RNAcentral.